CCAGACUCCUACGGGAGGCAGCAGUGAGGAAUAUUGGUCAAUGGGCGCGAGCCUGAACCAGCCAAAUCGCGUGAGGGAUGACGGUCCUAUGGAUUGUAAACCUCUUUUGUCAGGGAGCAAAGGGCGCCACGUGUGGCGUUUUGCGAGUACCUGAAGAAAAAGCAUCGGCUAACUCCGUGCCAGCAGCCGCGGUAAUACGGAGGAUGCGAGCGUUAUCCGGAUUUAUUGGGUGUAAAGGGUGCGUAGACGGGUAUAUAAGUUAGUUGUGAAAUCCCUCGGCUCAACUGAGGAACUGCAACUAGAACUGUAAAUCUUGAGUGCGGGAGAGGAAAGUGGAAUUCCUAGUGUAGCGGUGAAAUGCGUAGAUAUUAGGAGGAACACCAGUGGCGAAGGCGACUUUCUGGACCGUAACUGACGUUGAGGCACGAAAGUGUGGGGAGCAAACAGGAUUAGAUACCCGGGUAA
Molecule: ribosomal RNA, 465 nt
Filed under: uncultured bacterium
Lineage: Bacteria
Description: bacterial SSU rRNA
Rfam family: Bacterial small subunit ribosomal RNA
Source: RNAcentral